GGAAAAGAAAAAGUAAAGGACUAAAUUGUAAAGUUUAGUCACAUUUUGUAUCGAGUACUUAUCUAGCCACUCGGGGAUCGAAGGAAACGUCGGAGGCCGAUCACACUAUCAAAGAAAUAACUCGGUAUAAUUAGACGUUUUGUUUUGUGUAUGGCAUGUAUAGAAACUUAGCCACUUUUGGUAUAAUAUGAACAAUGAAUGAUGUGUAAA
Gossypium arboreum is the source of this 210-nucleotide long non-coding RNA. RefSeq lists it as uncharacterized. Lineage: Eukaryota; Viridiplantae; Streptophyta; Magnoliopsida; Malvales; Malvaceae. The transcript has 2 exons. The record is from RefSeq and is a predicted model, not a curated record.